This 346-nucleotide ribosomal RNA is filed under the name uncultured Desulfobulbus sp. RNAcentral's name for it is "bacterial SSU rRNA". It matches the Rfam family "Bacterial small subunit ribosomal RNA", at positions 1036 to 1382 of the family's 1533-position model. The record is from RNAcentral. Lineage: Bacteria; Pseudomonadati; Thermodesulfobacteriota; Desulfobulbia; Desulfobulbales; Desulfobulbaceae.
AGGUGCUGCAUGGCUGUCGUCAGCUCGUGUCGUGAGAUGUUGGGUUAAGUCCCGCAACGAGCGCAACCCUUGCCUUUAGUUGCCAGCAGUUCGGCUGGGCACUCUAGAGGGACUGCCGGUGUUAAACCGGAGGAAGGUGGGGAUGACGUCAAGUCCUCAUGGCCUUUAUGACCAGGGCUACACACGUACUACAAUGGCCGAUACAAAGGGCAGCGACACUGCGAGGUGAAGCCAAUCCCGUAAAAUCGGUCUCAGUCCGGAUUGGAGUCUGCAACUCGACUCCAUGAAGUUGGAAUCGCUAGUAAUCGUGGAUCAGCAUGCCACGGUGAAUACGUUCCCGGGCCUU